UACGUAGGGUGCAAGCGUUGUCCGGAAUUAUUGGGCGUAAAGAGCUCGUAGGCGGUCUGUCGCGUCUGGUGUGAAAAUCCAGGGCUUAACCCUGGACCUGCAUCGGGUACGGGCAGACUAGAGUGCGGUAGGGGAGAUCGGAAUUCCUGGUGUAGCGGUGAAAUGCGCAGAUAUCAGGAGGAACACCGGUGGCGAAGGCGGAUCUCUGGGCAUUAACUGACGCUGAGGAGCGAAAGCAUGGGGAGCGAACAGG
RNAcentral lists this ribosomal RNA (253 nucleotides) under uncultured bacterium. RNAcentral describes it as "partial 16S ribosomal RNA". It matches the Rfam family "Bacterial small subunit ribosomal RNA", at positions 524 to 776 of the family's 1533-position model. The record is from RNAcentral.